Molecule: ribosomal RNA, 301 nt
Filed under: uncultured bacterium
Lineage: Bacteria
Description: partial 16S ribosomal RNA
Rfam family: Bacterial small subunit ribosomal RNA
Source: RNAcentral
CAGCCGCCGCGGUAACACGUAGGGUGCAAGCGUUAAUCGGAAUUACUGGGCGUAAAGCGUGCGUAGGCGGUUUGUUAAGUCUGUUGUGAAAUCCCCGGGCUCAACCUGGGAAUGGCAAUGGAUACUGGCAAGCUAGAGUGUGUCAGAGGAUGGUGGAAUUCCCGGUGUAGCGGUGAAAUGCGUAGAGAUCGGGAGGAACAUCAGUGGCGAAGGCGGCCAUCUGGGACAACACUGACGCUGAGGCACGAAAGCGUGGGGAGCAAACAGGAUUAGAUACCCCCGUAGUCCCUGUCUCUUAUAC